Molecule: ribosomal RNA, 446 nt
Filed under: uncultured bacterium
Lineage: Bacteria
Description: bacterial SSU rRNA
Rfam family: Bacterial small subunit ribosomal RNA
Source: RNAcentral
AGCGAACGCUGGCGGCAGGCCUAAACAUGCAAGUCGAACGCCGUAGCAAUACGGAGUGGCAGACGGGUGAGUAACACGUGGGAACGUGCCUUUUGGUUCGGAACAACUGAGGGAAACUUCAGCUAAUACCGGAUAAGCCCUUACGGGGAAAGAUUUAUCGCCAAGAGAUCGGCCCGCGUCUGAUUAGCUAGUUGGUGAGGUAACGGCUCACCAAGGCUACGAUCAGUAGCUGGUCUGAGAGGAUGAUCAGCCACACUGGGACUGAGACACGGCCCAGACUCCUACGGGAGGCAGCAGUUAGGAAUCUUGGACAAUGGGCGCAAGCCUGAUCCAGCCAUGCCGCGUGAGUGAUGAAGGCCUUAGGGUUGUAAAGCUCUUUCAGCGGGGAAGAUAAUGACGGUACCCGCAGAAGAAGCCCCGGCUAACUUCGUGCCAGCAGCCGCGGU